CGGGUGCACUGAUCCGGCCGGGCCUUUCCCUCUGUGGAGCCCCAUGGCCUUCACUGGCUGUGCGGGGGAAACAGGACUUUUACUGUGAAAAAAUUAGAGUGUUCCAGGCAGGCCUAUGCUCGAAUACAUUAGCAUGGAAUAAUAGAAUAGGACGCGUGGUUCUAUUUUGUUGGUUUCUAGGACCGCCGUAAUGAUUAAUAGGGACAGUCGGGGGCAUCAGUAUUCAAUUGUCAGAGGUGAAAUUCUUGGAUCUAUUGAAGACUAACUACUGCGAAAGCAUUUGCCAAGGAUGUUUUCAUUGAUAAGGAACGAAAGUUAGGGGAUCGAAGACGAUCAGAUACCGUCGUAGUCUUAACUAUAAACUAUGCCGACUAGGGAUCGGACGAUGUUAUUUCUUGACGCGUUCGGCACCUUUCGAGAAAUCAAAGUGCUUGGGCUCCAGGGGGAGUAUGGUCGCAAGGCUGAAACUUAAAGAAAUUGACGGAAGGGCACCACCAGGGGUGGAACCUGCGGCUUAAUUUGACUCAACACGGGGAAACUCACCAGGUCCAGACACAGUGAGGAUUGACAGAUUGAGAGCUCUUUCUUGAUUCUGUGGGUGGUGGUGCAUGGCCGUUCUUAGUUGGUGGAGUGAUUUGUCUGCUUAAUUGCGAUAACGAACGAGAUCUUAACCUGCUAAAUAGCCCGUACUGCUCUGGCAGUUCGCCGGCUUCUUAGAGGGACUAUCGG
This 729-nucleotide ribosomal RNA is filed under the name uncultured eukaryote. Its description in RNAcentral is "SSU rRNA". It matches the Rfam family "Eukaryotic small subunit ribosomal RNA", at positions 670 to 1426 of the family's 1831-position model. The record is from RNAcentral.